GAUGAACGCUGGCGGCGUGCCUAAUACAUGCAAGUCGAGCGAACAGAUGAGGAGCUUGCUCCUCUGACGUUAGCGGCGGACGGGUGAGUAACACGUGGAUAACCUACCUAUAAGACUGGGAUAACUUCGGGAAACCGGAGCUAAUACCGGAUAAUAUAUUGAACCGCAUGGUUCAAUAGUGAAAGACGGUCUUGCUGUCACUUAUAGAUGGAUCCGCGCCGCAUUAGCUAGUUGGUAAGGUAACGGCUUACCAAGGCAACGAUGCGUAGCCGACCUGAGAGGGUGAUCGGCCACACUGGAACUGAGACACGGUCCAGACUCCUACGGGAGGCAGCAGUAGGGAAUCUUCCGCAAUGGGCGAAAGCCUGACGGAGCAACGCCGCGUGAGUGAUGAAGGUCUUCGGAUCGUAAAACUCUGUUAUUAGGGAAGAACAAAUGUGUAAGUAACUGUGCACGUCUUGACGGUACCUAAUCAGAAAGCCACGGCUAACUACGUG
RNAcentral lists this ribosomal RNA (497 nucleotides) under uncultured bacterium. RNAcentral's name for it is "partial 16S ribosomal RNA". It matches the Rfam family "Bacterial small subunit ribosomal RNA", at positions 28 to 507 of the family's 1533-position model. The record is from RNAcentral.